RNAcentral lists this ribosomal RNA (269 nucleotides) under uncultured prokaryote. RNAcentral's name for it is "partial 16S ribosomal RNA". It matches the Rfam family "Bacterial small subunit ribosomal RNA", at positions 524 to 792 of the family's 1533-position model. The record is from RNAcentral.
UACGUAGGGGGCUAGCGUUAUCCGGAUUUACUGGGCGUAAAGGGAGCGUAGGCGGUUCGGUAUGUCGAAUGUGAAAGCCCACAACUCAACUGUGGAAAUGCAUUCGAAACUGCCGGGCUAGAGUACUGGAGAGGAGAGCGGAAUUCUUGGUGUAGCGGUGAAAUGCGUAGAUAUCAAGAGGAACACCGGUGGCGAAGGCGGCUCUCUGGACAGAUACUGACGCUGAGGCUCUAAAGUUAGGGGAGCAAACAGGAUUAGAUACCCUGGUA